Amphiprion ocellaris (clown anemonefish) is the source of this 5634-nucleotide long non-coding RNA. RefSeq lists it as uncharacterized. The record is from RefSeq and is a predicted model, not a curated record. The transcript has 3 exons. Lineage: Eukaryota; Metazoa; Chordata; Actinopteri; Pomacentridae.
GAGCAAUGUCUGCAAAAGACAGGAUUAAUAAUGUUUUAUCUUAUCUUAUCCUAACUUGUGAAAAACACAGACGGUAUGUCGGUCUAUAAUUUAAUUUUAUCCAACACAAGCAAUGAUCUAAUCAGGAGAAAAAUCAACUUCACGUGUGUUUCAAGGGAGUUUCUGUGCCACAGUGCUAAUGAGAGGAUGAGCUGCAGCUGCGCUGGAUGAGUUGAAUGAGCUGUGCAGGUGCAGCUCGUUUGUCAUUUCCGCUUAAAAGGCCGGCGCUGUGGCUGUGUCGAUCAUUCGCACUCUUCCUCCGAAGCUGUGCGGAUCAUUCCUCCUGUCCAGUGUCUCCGGAGAGCGAGCAGUUUGCGUUUUCCCCAGCCGUCCUCCGACCAGGUGGAGUCCUCCUUCUCCUUUCUCGUGUGGUGAGUUCUGCACAUAGUUGGCAUGUUUGUUAGUGUUUUUGUAACUAAAACCCUGCCGCCCCAGAACGGGUUUGUGUUUCCACUCAAGGAGCAAAGUUGGAGCUGCGUCAUUGCGCCACCACAAAACGUGUGUACGUCACUGCGUACGUAGCCGUUCAACAGCGUUCACGCCGUACGGAAACCCACACAACAACAAUGGAGGGCUUCUUUGGAGUGGUGUACGUGGCUUUGCGAGUGUGUCUCGCCAUCGCUGAACAGCAAAACCUUCUGUUAGGGGUUACUCAUCGGCGUCGCCGUUCCAAUGCCCGGCGUUCACGUUUGAGAAGAAAGAUGUUUUUAGAUGUCACCCCGCCUUCUGCCCGUGACAUGCUCGGCUCUCAACUCUGGCCACCUCUGGCCCAGCAACGAGUUGGUGCCCGAAACGGCCCCAGUUUUUGGAGCCCGGAGCCGCAGCUCCGGUGGUCGAAACACAAAAAACCGGCGCCAAGUCGGGCGCCGGCUCCAACUCCGAACGGGCUCCACCCCGGUCGAAAAGGAGGGGGAAGCAGCUGAAGGCAGAACUUGUCCUAUUUAAAGGAUUCGUAGCAAAGUGAAUGAGGUAGCGAUGGCUCUCAGAAAGAAGCUGGGUUUUUUUUUUUGUUUUUUUUGUUUUUUUUUUUAAAGGGAAAAAAAAUAUUAUUUUUUUCGGCUUCAUUUAGGCAUAGUGAGAGAGACGGGAAACGGGGGGAAAAGAGUUGGGGAACACAUGCAGCAAAGGGCCGCGACCGGGAAUCGAACCCGGGCCGCUGCAUCUGGGACCAGCCCCUUGUACACUGCUCGUCCGCUUAACGCGUUGAGCUAUACGGGCGCCUGGAAAAAAAAAAAAAAAAAGAGUUUUUCAGUCUAUUUGUCCUCACAUUGAUGCAUCUGUAACUCCUUCCACGGGGCAAAGAUCACAAAGCUGAGAACCGGGAUGUGAGCUGUUCUUGAUGAUGUUCUUGCUGAGGCAAGUUGUUGACAUCCAUAGAGGUGAGUCACACACAUUCAUGGAGGCAAUGGCUGUUUUGUGUUGUCUGUGUCAUGUUUGCACGUUCUUCGGGUUCUUUGCAUGUCUAAAUCUUUGCUUUGACGCACUCUGUCCUUGAGGUGUUGGCUGUUUUCCAUCUGGGUCACAUUUGGACUUUAUCCUGGUCACUCGUCUGCGUCAUUCAUGGCUUUGACAUAAAUUGAAGACAUGGGACUUUGAUUGUUUGUUGAUGUAGCCGUUUUCUUUCUUUUACAUGCCGAGAGACGAGAUCUUCAGUGGACGAUUAAAGAGGCUGUUGACAUCCAUAGAGGUGAGUUACACACAUUGAUGGAAGCUAUGGCUGUUUUGUGUUGUCUGUGUCAUGUUUGCACUUUGUUCGGGUUCUUUGCAUGUCUAACUCUUUGCUUUGACACUCUGUCCUUGAGGUGUUGGCCGUUUUCCAUCUGGGUCACGUUUGGACUUUAUCCUGGUCACUUGUCUGCGUCAUUCAUGGCUUUGACAUAAAUUGAAGACAUGGGACUUUGAUUGUUUGUUGAUGUAGUCGUUUUCUUUCUUUUACAUGUCGAGAGACGAGAUCUUCAGUGGACGAUUAAAGAGGCUGUUGACAUCCAUAGAGGUGAGUUACACACAUUAAUGGAAGCUAUGGCUGUUUUGUGUUGUCUGUGUCAUGUUUGCACUUUGUUCGGGUUCUUUGCAUGUCUAACUCUUUGCUUUGACACUCUGUCCUUGAGGUGUUGGCCGUUUUCCAUCUGGGUCACGUUUGGACUUUAUCCUGGUCACUUGUCUGCGUCAUUCAUGGCUUUGACAUAAAUUGAAGACAUGGGACUUUGAUUGUUUGCUGAUGUAGCCGUUUUCUUUCUUUUACAUGCCGAGAGACGAGAUCUUCAGUGGACGAUUAAAGAGGCUGUUGACAUCCAUAGAGGUGAGUUACACACAUUGAUGGAAGCUAUGGCUGUUUUGUGUUGUCUGUGUCAUGUUUGCACUUUGUUCGGGUUCUUUGCAUGUCUAACUCUUUGCUUUGACACUCUGUCCUUGAGGUGUUGGCCGUUUUCCAUCUGGGUCACGUUUGGACUUUAUCCUGGUCACUUGUCUGCGUCAUUCCUGGCUUUGACAUAAAUUGAAGACAUGGGACUUUGAUUGUUUGUUGAUGUAGCCGUUUUCUUUCUUUUACAUGCCGAGAGACGAGAUCUUCAGUGGACGAUUAAAGAGGCUGUUGACAUCCAUAGAGGUGAGUUACACACAUUGAUGGAAGCUAUGGCUGUUUUGUGUUGUCUGUGUCAUGUUUGCACUUUGUUCGGGUUCUUUGCAUGUCUAACUCUUUGCUUUGACACUCUCUGUCCUUGAGGUUUUGGCCGUUUUCCAUCUGGGUCACGUUUGGACUUUAUCCUGGUCACUUGUCUGCGUCAUUCAUGGCUUUGACAUAAAUUGAAGACAUGGGACUUUGAUUGUUUGUUGAUGUAGCCGUUUUCUUUCUUUUACAUGCCGAGAGACGAGAUCUUCAGUGGACCAUAAAAGAGGCUGUUGACAUCCAUAGAGGUGAGUUACACACAUUGAUGGAAGCUAUGGCUGUUUUGUGUUGUCUUUGUCAUGUUUGCACUUUGUUCGGGUUCUUUGCAUGUCUAACUCUUUGCUUUGACACUCUGUCCUUGAGGUGUUGGCCGUUUUCCAUCUGGGUCACGUUUGGACUUUAUCCUGGUCACUUGUCUGCGUCAUUCAUGGCUUUGACAUAAAUUGAAGACAUGGGACUUUGAUUGUUUGUUGAUGUAGCCGUUUUCUUUCUUUUACAUGCCGAGAGACGAGAUCUUCAGUGGACGAUUAAAGAGGCUGUUGACAUCCAUAGAGGUGAGUUACACACAUUGAUUGAAGCUAUGGCUGUUUUGUGUUGUCUUUGUCAUGUUUGCACUUUGUUCGGGUUCUUUGCAUGUCUAACUCUUUGCUUUGACAUUCUGUCCUUGAGGUGUUGGCCGUUUUCCAUCUGGGUCACGUUUGGACUUUAUCCUGGUCACUUGUCUGCGUCAUUCCUGGCUUUGACAUAAAUUGAAGACAUGGGACUUUGAUUGUUUGUUGAUGUAGCCGUUUUCUUUCUUUUACAUGCCGAGAGACGAGAUCUUCAGUGGACGAUUAAAGAGGCUGUUGACAUCCAUAGAGGUGAGUUACACACAUUGAUGGAAGCUAUGGCUGUUUUGUGUUGUCUGUGUCAUGUUUGCACUUUGUUCGGGUUCUUUGCAUGUCUAAUUCUUUGCUUUGACACUCUGUCCUUGAGGUGUUGGCCGUUUUCCAUCUGGGUCACGUUUGGACUUUAUCCUGGUCACUUGUCUGCGUCAUUCAUGGCUUUGACAUAAAUUGAAGACAUGGGACUUUGAUUGUUUGUUGAUGUAGCCGUUUUCUUUCUUUUACAUGCCGAGAGACGAGAUCUUCAGUGGACGAUUAAAGAGGCUGUUGACAUCCAUAGAGGUGAGUUACACACAUUGAUGGAAGCUAUGGCUGUUUUGUGUUGUCUGCGUCAUGUUUGCACUUUGUUUGGGUUCUUUGCAUGUCUAACUCUUUGCUUUGACACUCUGUCCUUGAGGUGUUGGCCGUUUUCUAUCUGGGUCACGUUUGGACUUUAUCCUGGUCACUUGUCUGCGUCAUUCAUGGCUUUGACAUAAAUUGAAGACAUGGGACUUUGAUUGUUUGCUGAUGUAGCCGUUUUCUUUCUUUUACAUGCCGAGAGACGAGAUCUUCAGUGGACCAUAAAAGAGGCUGUUGACAUCCAUAGAGGUGAGUUACACACAUUGAUGGAAGCUAUGGCUGUUUUGUGUUGUCUGUGUCAUGUUUGCACUUUGUUCGGGUUCUUUGCAUGUCUAACUCUUUGCUUUGACACUCUCUGUCCUUGAGGUGUUGGCCGUUUUCCAUCUGGGUCACGUUUGGACUUUAUCCUGGUCACUUGUCUGCGUCAUUCAUGGCUUUGACAUAAAUUGAAGACAUGGGACUUUGAUUGUUUGUUGAUGUAGCCGUUUUCUUUCUUUUACAUGCCGAGAGACGAGAUCUUCAGUGGACCAUAAAAGAGGCUGUUGACAUCCAUAGAGGUGAGUUACACACAUUGAUGGAAGCUAUGGCUGUUUUGUGUUGUCUUUGUCAUGUUUGCACUUUGUUCGGGUUCUUUGCAUGUCUAAUUCUUUGCUUUGACACUCUGUCCUUGAGGUGUUGGCCGUUUUCCAUCUGGGUCACGUUUGGACUUUAUCCUGGUCACUUGUCUGCGUCAUUCAUGGCUUUGACAUAAAUUGAAGACAUGGGACUUUGAUUGUUUGUUGAUGUAGCCGUUUUCUUUCUUUUACAUGCCGAGAGACGAGAUCUUCAGUGGACGAUUAAAGAGGCUGUUGACAUCCAUAGAGGUGAGUUACACACAUUGAUGGAAGCUAUGGCUGUUUUGUGUUGUCUGCGUCAUGUUUGCACUUUGUUUGGGUUCUUUGCAUGUCUAACUCUUUGCUUUGACACUCUGUCCUUGAGGUGUUGGCCGUUUUCCAUCUGGGUCACGUUUGGACUUUAUCCUGGUCACUUGUCUGCGUCAUUCAUGGCUUUGACAUAAAUUGAAGACAUGGGACUUUGAUUGUUUGUUGAUGUAGCCGUUUUCUUUCUUUUACAUGCCGAGAGACGAGAUCUUCAGUGGACGAUUAAAGAGGCUGUUGACAUCCAUAGAGGCUGAAAUUCCAUUAAGAAGAAGAAGAAGAAGAAGAAGAAGAAGAAGAAGAAGAAGAAGAAGAAGAAGAAGAAGAAGAAGAAGAAGAAGAAGAAGAAGAAGAAGAAGAAGAAGAAGAAGAAGAAGAAGAAGAAGAAGAAGAAGAAGAAGAAGAAGAAGAAGAAGAAGUGCUUCCACAGCAAGUCUGUGGCAGCUCCAGAACACAAACAAUCAGCUCGGUUGUCUUCAACAUGUCGACCACUCUGUCUUUCUCUGUCAACCUGCCACCCCCUGAAACAAAUAAAAGACAAAUAUGAGCAAAGUCCCAUGUCUUCAAUGUAUGACAAAGUAAUCAAAGCAAAUCACCGCAAUAAAAUGAUACACAAGACACCCAUCACCUACGUGACAAUGUAUGAGUCUAACUCACCUCUGUUCUCUGGACGUCCACCGCUGGGUCUCUCAGCAUCUGACACAAACAAACAAACAAACAAACACAUGAGGAAAGCAGCAAAGUCUACUGUGUGCAAUGUGUGACAAUGUGCAACUCACCUCUGCUCUCU